CCCACUUUCAUAUAUCACAAAAAUCGACUGAAAUGGCCAAGUUAUUGGGUCCUCUUCCAAACUAUACCUUCAUUUUCCUAUCUUUCCUCCUCCUGGUUUACUCCGGGACGCAAAUGGUGGAAGCACAGGUUUGCUCGAGGCCAAGUCAAACAACGGGAGUAAUUACUUGUCCGAGCAAUUUGCUUUGCGACCGACGAUGCAGGGACAUUGAAGGUGCCAUGUAUGGUGCGUGUCAGCCCCGACUCCUAGGGUCGACAUGUUUAUGCUACGUUAGAUGCUGACCAUCAUAGCAUCUAUGUAUGAAUGAAGAUUGCACCACGUCCAACCUUCAUCUUAUGUAGGGAUACAACUCAGUACUACUCAUGCCACUGUUAUGUUUUACUAUCUGAAUAAAACCGGUGCGAUUACUAUUA
Gossypium raimondii (Peruvian cotton) is the source of this 413-nucleotide long non-coding RNA. RefSeq lists it as uncharacterized. The record is from RefSeq and is a predicted model, not a curated record. Lineage: Eukaryota; Viridiplantae; Streptophyta; Magnoliopsida; Malvales; Malvaceae. The transcript is spliced from 2 exons.